RNAcentral lists this ribosomal RNA (253 nucleotides) under uncultured bacterium. RNAcentral describes it as "partial 16S ribosomal RNA". It matches the Rfam family "Bacterial small subunit ribosomal RNA", at positions 524 to 776 of the family's 1533-position model. The record is from RNAcentral.
UACGGAGGGUGCAAGCGUUAAUCGGAAUUACUGGGCGUAAAGCGCACGCAGGUGGCUGAGAAAGUCGAUUGUGAAAGCCCUGGGCUUAACCUGGGAAUUGCAGUCGAAACUACUCGGCUAGAGUAUGGGAGAGGGUAGUGGAAUUCCCGGUGUAGCGGUGAAAUGCGUAGAUAUCGUGAGGAAGACCAGUUGCGAAGGCGGAUCUCUGGGCAGUUCCUGACACUGAGGCACGAAGGCCAGGGGAGCAAACGGG